This 253-nucleotide ribosomal RNA is filed under the name uncultured bacterium. RNAcentral's name for it is "partial 16S ribosomal RNA". It matches the Rfam family "Bacterial small subunit ribosomal RNA", at positions 524 to 776 of the family's 1533-position model. The record is from RNAcentral.
UACGUAGGUGACAAGCGUUGUCCGGAUUUACUGGGCGUAAAGAGCGCGCAGGCGGUCGUUCAAGUCGAGUGUGAAAUCCCCGAGCUUAACUUGGGAAUUGCGCUCGAAACUACGAUGCUCGAGUGUGGCAGAGGAAGGUGGAAUUCCACGUGUAGCGGUGAAAUGCGUAGAGAUGUGGAGGAACACCGAUGGCGAAGGCAGCCUUCUGGGCCAACACUGACGCUCAUGCACGAAAGCGUGGGGAGCAAACAGG